GAGUUUGAUCCUGGCUCAGGACGAACGCUGGCGGUAUGCUUAACACAUGCAAGUCGAACGAGAAGGAAGAGCUUGCUCUUCCUGAAAGUGGCGAACGGGUGAGUAACGCGUGGGUAACCUACCCUUUGGAAAGGAAUAGCCUCGGGAAACUGGGAGUAAUGCCUUAUAAGAUACGUUUGUCGCAUGGCAUUUGUAUUAAACGCUCCGGCGCCAUAGGAUGGACCCGCGUCCCAUUAGCUAGUUGGUGAGAUAACAGCUCACCAAGGCCACGAUGGGUAACCGGUCUGAGAGGGCGAACGGUCACACUGGAACUGAGACACGGUCCAGACUCCUACGGGAGGCAGCAGUGGGGAAUAUUGCGCAAUGGGGGCAACCCUGACGCAGCAAUACCGCGUGAGUGAAGAAGGUUUUCGGAUCGUAAAGCUCUGUUAUUGGGGAAGAAAAAAAGACGGUACCCAAGAAGAAAGUUCCGGCUAACUACGUGCCAGCAGCCGCGGUAAUACGUAGGGAACAAGCGUUGUCCGGAUUUACUGGGCGUAAAGGGCACGCAGGCGGUUUUUUAAGUCAGAUGUGAAAGGCCACAGCUCAACUGUGGACAUGCAUUUGAAACUGAAAGACUUGAGUAUUGGAGAGGCAAGUGGAAUUCCUAGUGUAGCGGUGAAAUGC
This 666-nucleotide ribosomal RNA is filed under the name uncultured bacterium. RNAcentral's name for it is "bacterial SSU rRNA". It matches the Rfam family "Bacterial small subunit ribosomal RNA", at positions 9 to 689 of the family's 1533-position model. The record is from RNAcentral.